Molecule: long non-coding RNA, 330 nt
Filed under: Androctonus crassicauda
Lineage: Eukaryota; Metazoa; Arthropoda; Arachnida; Scorpiones; Buthidae
Source: RNAcentral
GGGAGCUUGGUGGGGAUCCGACUGGGAGGGUCGAGGCGUGGGUGGGUGGGAUGGUUAAGAGCAGUAGCUUUCCACAGGUCUGGAGGAUUGGGGGGCAGAGAGCGAGGGUUUGCCCUGGGAUUUUCGCCUGUGUGAGGGUGCACGGGGCACCAGCCCAAUUUCGACCGGUGGUUGAUGGGGGAUGCGCCCCGGCCUGCGGGCUUGGGGCCUGUGUUGCUGAGUGGUGUGGGGGUUUGCUGGGGGAGACUGGGAGCUCGACCAAGAUUGCUGCUGGUGCCCUUAAUGGAGUUGGGACCGUCCAGUUGAGGGAUGCUGCAGUGUGGGCGGCUU